This 148-nucleotide non-coding RNA is filed under the name Nomascus leucogenys (northern white-cheeked gibbon). Lineage: Eukaryota; Metazoa; Chordata; Mammalia; Primates; Hylobatidae. The record is from Rfam by way of RNAcentral.
GCUGGGCGUGGUGGCAGAUGCCUGUAAUCCCAGCUACUUGGGAGGCUGAGGCAGGAGAAUUGCUUGAACCCAGGAGGCGGAGUUUGCAGUGAGCCAAGAUUAUGCCACUGCACUCUAGCCUGGGUGACAGAGCAAGACUUUGCCUCAA